GACUCGAUGGGCCUCGAGGACGAACGCUGGCGGCGUGCCUAACACAUGCAAGUCGAACGGAAGUAAGAGCUUCGGUUUUUACUUAGUGGCGAACGGGUGAGUAACGCGUGAGAAACCUGGCCUCUCGAGUGGGGGGACUAACAGAUGGAAACAUCUGCUAAUACCGCAUAAGACCACGGGAUCACAUGUUCCUGGGGGUAAAAAGAUUUAUCGGGUGUAGGGGUGAGCUCGCGUCCGAUUAGCUAGUUGGUGAGGUAACGGCCCACCAAGGCGACGAUCGGUAGCCGACCUGAGAGGGUGAUCGGCCACAUUGGAACUGAGACACGGUCCAAACUCCUACGGGAGGCAGCAGUGAGGAAUAUUGGUCAAUGGACGAGAGUCUGAACCAGCCAAGUAGCGUGAAGGAUGACUGCCCUAUGGGUUGUAAACUUCUUUUGUUUGGGAAUAAAGUUCGGGACGUGUCCCGUUUUGUAUGUACCAUUCGAAUAAGCAUCGGCUAAUUCCGUG
Molecule: ribosomal RNA, 507 nt
Filed under: uncultured bacterium
Lineage: Bacteria
Description: bacterial SSU rRNA
Rfam family: Bacterial small subunit ribosomal RNA
Source: RNAcentral